GGCAGAAGGAAGGCAGUUAGGCUGUUAGGAAGGCAGUUAGGCUGCAGUGAAUUCUACAAAGAGGCUAUGGGAAAGAAACCUGGAAAGUACCCUUGGCUGUGUACAUUUGAGUAAAGAGAGCACUAUAAAAUCAAAAACCAAUGAAAUGGUUUCCAGAACACAGAACUAUUAAGCUUAAGAAAAGGACAGAAGGAACUGAAGAGAGAGGAACUGUUUUGGAGCAUCACACUUCCACCUCAGAAGAAAUAAGGAAGGAAGGAGGAGGGUGUUCCCACGGCUCUUCAACCAGGCCGGCUCUUCAGCCUACAUCCCCAUCUCAUCAAGUAAAAGGGAUUUUUCAACUGGACCAACCAGAUGGUUUAACAGUGCACUCCCACACCAUUCAACUACGCAAGGGAGAUACACUUAACAUAUGCAGUCGUAUAACACCUACUAACAUUUUCAAACAUUAAACCUUUAAAAAAGAGUUCUAAAGAAAUAGAAGCUUGAAGUAUCAUCUCUCAAGUAUAUAGACACUACUUCAUGGUGUGGUAAUAUAUGCAUAUAGAAGCUAGUAAACACCUCCAGGAGAUGCAAAAGGAAUUAGAACUGCCACAAGGUGCAAGCAAAACCUUGAGCUUCUUUAAAAUAUGAAGACUUCGAAGUUAUUUAUCCAAACCAACCUGAUCAUUUCUUAAGAGUGAAUAUACCUUGGAAGACGUGUCCUGCCUUUAGUAGCGUCACAAUGGAUUACAUCCUCUAUAAAGCAGUCUGGGAGGCUAACAUCUGCCACAAGACAAAUAUGGUGCCUGCCCCCAUGGAGCUCAUAUUCGAAUGGAGAAAAUGUCAACAAGUAUCCCACGGAGUGAACACUUCAAAAGGAGAAGCACAGGUGAGAAAAUCGAAUUUGGACACCGUUGAGGAGACUAUUGCAGUCAUCCAAGCUCAAGAUGGUGGAGCUUCAUCCUUGAGAAUAACCAAUGGGGAUAGAUUUAAGAGACACUUAGAGUCUGCAGCCAACAGGGCUGAAUGAGCAGAGAGUUAUGAUUCAGAAGAUCAUCUAAAAUUGAACAGCUGCCACUACUGGCAAUAAGUCUACUGCCAUUUGGUAGAUAACCUUCUUAUCACACAGAAAAAUAUCAGUACAGACAAAUAGACCGCAAAGAAAAUGAGACCAUCAGCAAAGAAGAUAAAGAAGUUUGUACAAAGCAACUUUUUAUAAAUGGAUGGCUGUCAGGCAAAAAUAAAUUUCCUGUGGACAAGACCAAGAGCAAGGCAAGAGGAAAAUAAACAUGUUUAAACUAU
RNAcentral lists this long non-coding RNA (1284 nucleotides) under Homo sapiens (human). Its description in RNAcentral is "long intergenic non-protein coding RNA 343". Lineage: Eukaryota; Metazoa; Chordata; Mammalia; Primates; Hominidae. The record is from RNAcentral.